UAAUUUUAAGAGAACUCAUAAAUGUGGUUUAAUAAGUGAAAGUGACGUUUAUCAGACCGUCCAUCUUUGCGGUUGGGUUGAUGCUUUUCGUAACUUUGGGCAUCUAAAAUUUAUAUGGCUGCGAGAUUCUUCGGGCGUAACUCAAGUAAUUACCAGGGCUGAUACUAGUUAUAAUUCGAUAACGGAGAGCUUGACUUUAGAAAGUGUUCUUUAUGUAUCAGGUAAAGUGCAAAGGAGACCAGGAAGUAAUGAAAAUAUGAAUUUGGCUACCGGCAAGUAUGAAGUUUCUGCUAGUACAAUAGUAUUGCUUAACAAAGCAAAUCUUCCUGUUAUUGUUAAUGAUCACUCAAUAUUGCCUAAAGAAGAAACACGGCUUCAACAUCGUCAUCUCGACUUGAGGAGAAAAUACUUACACAACAAUUUAGUAACACGCGCAAAAAUUGCUA
Long non-coding RNA from Zophobas morio, 446 nucleotides. RefSeq lists it as uncharacterized. Lineage: Eukaryota; Metazoa; Arthropoda; Insecta; Coleoptera; Tenebrionidae. The transcript has 4 exons. The record is from RefSeq and is a predicted model, not a curated record.